GUCAAGCCUCUGCAAUAAUUUCAUGCUAUAGCCUAUAAGAGAACUUCAUAUGCCUCUUUCAAGUUAUAACAUCUUGAAAAACAACAUGAAAUAUCAAAAGAUUUCUUCUUGCUCUUAAAGUCCAUAGAUUUCUGCCAAGACUCCAUAUCUAGAAUUCUACAUAGAAUAGGAUCUUAAGAGAAAUAAAUAUGAAAUAAAGAAAAACAAAAUAGCAUUCUCU
RNAcentral lists this unclassified non-coding RNA (220 nucleotides) under Hevea brasiliensis (rubber tree). The record is from RNAcentral. Lineage: Eukaryota; Viridiplantae; Streptophyta; Magnoliopsida; Malpighiales; Euphorbiaceae.